Triticum aestivum (bread wheat) is the source of this 71-nucleotide non-coding RNA. NCBI's taxonomy places the organism in Eukaryota, Viridiplantae, Streptophyta, Magnoliopsida, Poales, Poaceae. The record is from Rfam.
GUCCACUACUCAGUUGAUAGAGUACAAAGUUCUUAACCUUGUGGACGUGGGUUCAAGCCCCAUGGAGGACA